This 439-nucleotide ribosomal RNA is filed under the name uncultured bacterium. RNAcentral's name for it is "partial 16S ribosomal RNA". It matches the Rfam family "Bacterial small subunit ribosomal RNA", at positions 339 to 795 of the family's 1533-position model. The record is from RNAcentral.
CUACGGGGGGCACCAGUGAGGAAUAUUGCACAAUGGGGGGAACCCUGAUGCAGCAACGCCGCGUGGAGGAUGACGCAUUUCGGUGUGUAAACUCCUUUUAUAUGUCAAGAAAAUGACGGUAGCAUAUGAAUAAGCGCCGGCUAACUCCGUGCCAGCAGCCGCGGUAAUACGGAGGGCGCAAGCGUUACUCGGAAUCACUGGGCGUAAAGGACGCGUAGGCGGGUUGGAAAGUCAGGUGUGAAAUCCUACAGCUUAACUGUAGAACUGCACUUGAAACUUCUAAUCUAGAGUAUGGGAGGGGGAGAUGGAAUUAGUGGUGUAGGGGUAAAAUCCGUAGAUAUCACUAGGAAUACCUAAAGCGAAGGCGAUCUCCUGGAACAUUACUGACGCUAAGGCGUGAAAGCGUGGGGAGCAAACAGGAUUAGAUACCCUUGUAGUC